This 253-nucleotide ribosomal RNA is filed under the name uncultured prokaryote. RNAcentral describes it as "partial 16S ribosomal RNA". It matches the Rfam family "Bacterial small subunit ribosomal RNA", at positions 524 to 776 of the family's 1533-position model. The record is from RNAcentral.
UACGUAGGGUGCGAGCGUUAAUCGGAAUUACUGGGCGUAAAGCGUGCGCAGGCGGUUUUGUAAGUCUGUCGUGAAAUCCCCGGGCUCAACCUGGGAACUGCAUUUGUGACUGCAUCGCUGGAGUACGGCAGAGGGGGAUGGAAUUCCGCGUGUAGCAGUGAAAUGCGUAGAUAUGCGGAGGAACACCGAUGGCGAAGGCAAUCCCCUGGGCCUGUACUGACGCUCAUGCACGAAAGCGUGGGGAGCAAACAGG